This is an RNA transcript of Papaver somniferum (opium poppy), 2364 nucleotides long. RefSeq lists it as uncharacterized. NCBI's taxonomy places the organism in Eukaryota, Viridiplantae, Streptophyta, Magnoliopsida, Ranunculales, Papaveraceae. The record is from RefSeq and is a predicted model, not a curated record. The transcript is spliced from 4 exons.
AACGACGCAGAACCCGAGAUUUCUUCUAUCCUUUCUUCUUCCUCUGAAAAUCAUACCGUUCUUGUUUCUAUCGUCAUCAUCUCUGGUUAAUUUCAUUUCAUCUCCUUGUUACUCCAGUCACUGUGAUUCAUUUCUAAAUUUUCUUUGUAAUCAAGAAAUGAAAGAAGAUGAUAUCACCAUUCCCAUCAAUAAUACCAAAAUCAGAUCAUUAACUAGUCCUUCUGCUUCUUCAUCUUCUUGUACCAGAAGACGUCCUUGGAGAUACAGCCAAACAGGACUCGCUGUAAUAGCUGUAUUAUCACUCGUGUUCUCUACAACCGCUUGGUUAUCUCUUGUUUUCUCAGAAACAACUUCACGUUGUUGGCAUCGAUUUAAAGAUUGGGAACGAAAUCCGUACAAAUCAUUUCCAUGGCACCAUCAUAAACCACCACCACCGCCGCCGCCGCCGUUGAUUUCUUCUUCCACAUUCAUCAAUCACACUAAUCAGAUACAAGAAGAAGGAGAUAAAGAAGAAUUGUCGCUGAAACACAUUGUAUUUGGAAUUGCUGGUUCAUCUCAGCUUUGGAAUAAACGGAAAGAAUUUGUUAAAUUGUGGUGGCGGCCUAAUGACAUGCGCGGUCAUGUCUGGUUAGACGAGAAACUAGUACGCAAGAAGAAUGGUGGUUCCGAUGAUGAUGAUCGGUUGUUGUUGCCGGAGAUUAUGGUAUCUGAAGACAUUUCUAGGUUUCGUUAUACGAAUCCAAUCGGACAUCCAUCUGGUUUGAGAAUCUCGAGAAUCGUUGGGGAGUGUUUCAGGCUUGGAUUACCUAAUGUAAGAUGGUUUGUAAUGGGAGAUGAUGAUACAAUAUUUAAUCCUGAUAAUCUUGUUUCUGUUUUAAGCAAAUAUGAUUGGAAUGAAUUGGUUUAUAUUGGUAGUAAUUCUGAGAGUCAUUCUGCUAAUACUUAUUUUAGUCAUUCUAUGGCUUUUGGGGGUGCUGGUAUUGCUAUUAGCUACCCACUUGCUCACUCCCUUUCAAAGAUUCAAGAUGAUUGUCUCGAACGGUAUCCGAAGCUAUACGGCAGCGAUGAUCGUCUCCAUGCUUGUGUCUCCGAACUCGGUGUUCCUCUAACUAGAGAACAUGGAUUCCACCAGUGGGAUAUUAGGGGGAAUGCUCAUGGACUUUUAUCAGCACAUCCAAUUGCUCCAUUUGUGUCAAUUCACCAUGUUGAGGCUGUUGAUCCGUUUUUUCCUGGUUUGAGUUCUUUAGAUGGUUUGAGACUUUUCACUAAAUCUAUGAAAGCUGAUCCUCCGAGCUUUUUACAACGUUCUAUCUGCUAUGACCAUAAGAGGCGGUUAACGUUUUCUGUCUCGCUGGGUUAUGUUGUUCAAGUGUUUCCUAACAUUGUGCUUCCUCGAGAACUAGAGCGGUCUGAGCAGACGUAUUCGGCUUGGAAUAGACUUAGGCACAGGAGUGAGUUUGAUUUCGACACAAGAGAAUCUCAUAAAACGGCGUGUAAGAGAAGAGCUCUCUUCUUUCUGAAGGAUGUAACGAAACACGGAAAUGUUACUGUGGGUUCAUAUGGGCGGGCCAAAGAGAGAGACGGUCUCAAAAGGAAAAUAUAUUGUUUCCCAAGACAGCUUCCGUUGCGCCAUGUGCAAAAUAUUAGGGUGGUGGGUUAUCCACUGAGCAAGAACUGGCAUCUGGUGCCGCGUCGGCUGUGCUGCAGAGUAAAUCAAACAAAUGAUGAUCAUCUUAGAUUAUUAGUUGGACAGUGUCGUAAGGGAGGUCUUGGUUCUUUUGUUGAUUCAGUGUGAGUGGUGAUCCAGGGAGGCUCCUUUGCACCAUCGUUCUCUGGCAGGGAUUUCCUUGUGUAGAUGAACCUUUUCUAUCAAGUGUGGCGAUAGUGCAUGUUCAGCUGAACUUGAGCUUCAUAUUUUUGUUGAGGACAUAUCAACGGUCAUCCAAUGGUAAAAUGAACCGUAAGAUUGUGCAUAUUUGAAGUAGCUUCAAUGUACACAAGUGAGUUGCACAUGCAGACAACUGACCCUCAAGCUUGGGAAUUAUAGUCUUUGCCUUCACACUUUUCUUCAGAAGGCGUUAAUUGUAUGCUAUUAAAUGUUAGCUCUGUGCAAGGAACAGCUUGACUGCAGUUUAGAACCACUGCCGCUUGCGUAGCUGAUGUUCCUGUGAAGUGCUCGUACGUCACAUUCUUAAUUUGAACAGCGGUUUUCUGUAGAAGGGAGAAUCAGAUAAGAACGAUAAGAUGUUUUUUAUUGUACUACAUUCUGAAGUGGUUAUUUGCGCCUAAUAGGUGAAAUUGACAACUUUCAAUAGACAGGAAGAGACUUUUCAUUACCUGAGGUGGGCAGGCACCUCUCACUGC